GAUGAACGCUGGCGGCGUGCCUAACACAUGCAAGUCGAGCGAACAGAUGAGGAGCUUGCUCCUCUGACGUUAGCGUCGGACGGGUGAGUAACACGUGGAUAACCUACCUAUAAGACUGGGAUAACUUCGUGAAACCGGAGCUAAUACCGGUCAAUAUAUUGAACCGCAUGGUUCAAUAGUUCAACACGGCUUUGCUGUCACUUAUAGAUGGAUCCGCGCCGCAUUAGCUAGUUGGUAAGGUAACGGCUUACCAAGGCAACGAUGCGUAGCCGACCUGAGAGGGUGAUCGGCCACACUGGAACUGAGACACGGUCCAGACUCCUACGGGAGGCAGCAGUAGGGAAUGUUGGGCAAUGGGCGAAAGCCUGACGCAGCAACGCCGCGUGAGUGAUGAAGGUCUUCGGAUCGUAAAACCCUGUUAUUAGGGAAGAAGAGAUGUCUAAGUAAGUAUGGACGUCUUGACGGUACCUAAUGAAAAAGCCCCGGCUAACUACGUG
Molecule: ribosomal RNA, 497 nt
Filed under: uncultured bacterium
Lineage: Bacteria
Description: partial 16S ribosomal RNA
Rfam family: Bacterial small subunit ribosomal RNA
Source: RNAcentral